Bos taurus (domestic cattle) is the source of this 429-nucleotide long non-coding RNA. The record is from Ensembl. NCBI's taxonomy places the organism in Eukaryota, Metazoa, Chordata, Mammalia, Artiodactyla, Bovidae.
GCAGGAUUGUGUAACUGCUACAGCAUUCUGGAAUGAAGGCAAGAACCUCAGAGACUUGCCAAACUUGGUUCUGCUCGGAAGAAAUUUUCCCCUGAGGGCUUAGAGAAGUCUCCCUCUCUCUGAAACAGCUUCUUCAAAGGUGGGCAAAAAGACACCAACACCCAUCCUAUAUCAGCCAACAUCCCAGUGACUGGUCCAUCGACACCAAGGACUUCAAAUUAUACCGAGUUCUGUGUAAAAUUAACACAACUCACAAAGGUCCCACUAGAAGCUAAAAGAACUACUGGGCAAGGAGAAGGGCAUGCAUGGAGCCUGAGAAGCCUGGGAGAGCAGGAGGCAGCCUGUGAGCCUUCCCACUCAGCGCCAAGCUUGACAUAGAAAUUGGAUCAUGGUGAUGACAAUUAUGAAAAAUAAAAACCUGAUUUUUUU